Molecule: ribosomal RNA, 430 nt
Filed under: Pseudomonadota bacterium
Lineage: Bacteria; Pseudomonadati; Pseudomonadota
Description: Proteobacteria bacterium partial 16S ribosomal RNA
Rfam family: Bacterial small subunit ribosomal RNA
Source: RNAcentral
UGGGGAAUAUUGGACAAUGGGGGGAACCCUGAUCCAGCCAUGCCGCGUGUGUGAAGAAGGCCUUAUGGUUGUAAAGCACUUUAAGCGAGGAGGAGGGUACUGGUAUUAAUACUACCAGCUACUGGACGUUACUCGCAGAAUAAGCACCGGCUAACUCUGUGCCAGCAGCCGCGGUAAUACAGAGGGUGCGAGCGUUAAUCGGAUUUACUGGGCGUAAAGCGUGCGUAGGCGGCUAAUUGAGUCGGAUGUGAAAUCCCCGAGCUUAACUUGGGAAUUGCAUUCGAUACUGGUUAGCUAGAGUGUGGGAGAGGAUGGUAGAAUUCCAGGUGUAGCGGUGAAAUGCGUAGAGAUCUGGAGGAAUACCGAUGGCGAAGGCAGCCAUCUGGCCUAACACUGACGCUGAGGUACGAAAGCAGGGGGAGCAAACAGG